RNAcentral lists this ribosomal RNA (395 nucleotides) under uncultured bacterium. RNAcentral describes it as "partial 16S ribosomal RNA". It matches the Rfam family "Bacterial small subunit ribosomal RNA", at positions 523 to 918 of the family's 1533-position model. The record is from RNAcentral.
AUACGUAGGGUGCAAGCGUUAAUCGGAAUUACUGGGCGUAAAGCGUGCGCAGGCGGUUUUGUAAGACAGAGGUGAAAUCCCCGGGCUCCACCUGGGGACUGCCUUUGUGACUGCAAGGCUAGAGUACGGGCGAGGGGGAUGGAAUUCCGCGUGGUGCAGUGAAAUGCGUAGAUAUGCGGAGGAACACCGAUGGCGAAGGCAAUCCCCUGGGCCUGUACUGACGCUCAUGCACGAAAGCGUGGGGAGCAAACAGGAUCAGAUACCCUGGUAGUCCACGCCCUAAACGAUGUCAACUGGUUGUUGGGUCUUCAUUGACUCAGUAACGAAGCUAACGCGUGAAGUUGACCGCCUGGGGAGUACGGCCGCAAGGUUGAAACUCAAAUGAAUUGACGGGG